ACACAAAGCAAGGAAAGUCACAGUUCAAAUGGGAAACAGGAAGCUUGGAAAGAAGGAAAAAAUAUCAGUUAAACCAUCCAUUCUCGAACGUCCUAUUCAUAAAUUAGUUUUACUUCUAGAAAACAACUGAGAGGUGUUCUAAUGAAACCUUAGACAUUUUGAACACUUACCAGUGUGGAGAAUUAAGGUACUUCACAUAUAUCCACCUUGGUUCUUGAAAUGACUAGAUUUAUUCACAUGUAAGGUUUCAUAAAUCAUAGUAAUUUGGUGGGAGUGUAACGGUCUGAGAAAUGUUUAUAUUUGGAUGUUCAUUGUGUGCCUUGCUUAUCAAUUUAUGAUUUAGUCAAUU
Molecule: long non-coding RNA, 349 nt
Organism: Notothenia coriiceps (black rockcod)
Lineage: Eukaryota; Metazoa; Chordata; Actinopteri; Perciformes; Nototheniidae
Exons: 3
Source: RefSeq, a predicted model, not a curated record